RNAcentral lists this ribosomal RNA (440 nucleotides) under uncultured bacterium. RNAcentral describes it as "partial 16S ribosomal RNA". It matches the Rfam family "Bacterial small subunit ribosomal RNA", at positions 338 to 795 of the family's 1533-position model. The record is from RNAcentral.
CCUACGGGGGGCAGCAGUGGGGGAUAUUGCACAAUGGGGGGAACCCUGAUGCAGCGACGCCGCGUGAGCGAAGAAGUACCUCGGUAUGUAAAGCUCUAUCAGCAGGGAAGAUAAUGACGGUACCUGACCAAGAAGCCCCGGCUAACUACGUGCCAGCAGCCGCGGUAAUACGUAGGGGGCAAGCGUUAUCCGGAUUUACUGGGUGUAAAGGGAGCGUAGACGGCAGCACAAGUCUGGAGUGAAAUCCCGGGGCUUAACCCCGGAACUGCUUUGGAAACUGUGCGGCUGGAGUGCAGGAGGGGUAAGCGGAAUUCCUAGUGUAGCGGUGAAAUGCGUAGAUAUUAGGAGGAACACCGGUGGCGAAGGCGGCUUACUGGACUGUAACUGACGUUGAGGCUCGAAAGCGUGGGGAGCAAACAGGAUUAGAUACCCGUGUAGUC